RNAcentral lists this ribosomal RNA (484 nucleotides) under Burkholderia sp. 'ARUP UnID 175'. RNAcentral's name for it is "bacterial SSU rRNA". It matches the Rfam family "Bacterial small subunit ribosomal RNA", at positions 27 to 504 of the family's 1533-position model. Lineage: Bacteria; Pseudomonadati; Pseudomonadota; Betaproteobacteria; Burkholderiales; Burkholderiaceae. The record is from RNAcentral.
GAUUGAACGCUGGCGGCAUGCCUUACACAUGCAAGUCGAACGGCAGCACGGGGGCAACCCUGGUGGCGAGUGGCGAACGGGUGAGUAAUACAUCGGAACGUGUCCUGUAGUGGGGGAUAGCCCGGCGAAAGCCGGAUUAAUACCGCAUACGAUCUACGGAAGAAAGCGGGGGAUCCUUCGGGACCUCGCGCUAUAGGGGCGGCCGAUGGCAGAUUAGCUAGUUGGUGGGGUAAAGGCCUACCAAGGCGACGAUCUGUAGCUGGUCUGAGAGGACGACCAGCCACACUGGGACUGAGACACGGCCCAGACUCCUACGGGAGGCAGCAGUGGGGAAUUUUGGACAAUGGGGGCAACCCUGAUCCAGCAAUGCCGCGUGUGUGAAGAAGGCCUUCGGGUUGUAAAGCACUUUUGUCCGGAAAGAAAACGUCUUGGUUAAUACCCGAGGCGGAUGACGGUACCGGAAGAAUAAGCACCGGCUAACUAC